Molecule: ribosomal RNA, 602 nt
Filed under: uncultured bacterium
Lineage: Bacteria
Description: bacterial SSU rRNA
Rfam family: Bacterial small subunit ribosomal RNA
Source: RNAcentral
CCUACGGGAGGCAGCAGUGGGGAAUCUUGCGCAAUGGGCGAAAGCCUGACGCAGCAACGCCGCGUGCGGGAAGAAGGCUUUCGGGCUGUAAACCGCUUUCAGCAGGAACGAAAAUGACGGUACCUGCAGAAGAAGGAGCGGCCAACUAUGUGCCAGCAGCCGCGGUGAUACAUAGACUUCAAGCGUUGUCCGGAUUUAUUGGGCGUAAAGAGUUCGUAGGCGGUCAAGUAAGUCGGGUGUGAAAAUUCUGGGCUCAACCCAGAGACGCCACCCGAUACUGCUUAACUUGAGUUCGAUAGGGGAGUGGGGAAUUCCUAGUGUAGCGGUGAAAUGCGCAGAUAUUAGGAGGAACACCGGUGGCGAAGGCGCCACUCUGGAUCGAUACUGACGCUGAGGAACGAAAGCAUGGGUAGCAAACAGGAUUAGAUACCCUGGUAGUCCAUGCCGUAAACGGUGGGCACUAGGUGUGGGUUUCUAUUAACGAAAUCCGCGCCGUCGCUAACGCAUUAAGUGCCCCGCCUGGGGGAGGUACGGUCGCGAGACUAAACUACAAGAAGUAGACGGCGNGAGACGUGCCGACGGACGACGACGAGGGAGGUAGG